CCUACGGGAGGCAGCAGUGGGGAAUAUUGGGCAAUGGAGGAAACUCUGACCCAGCAAUGCCGCGUGAAUGAAGAAGGUCUUCGGAUUGUAAAGUUCUUUAGUCAGGGAAGAAUAAAAUGACGGUACCUGAAGAAUAAGCUCCGGCUAACUCCGUGCCAGCAGCCGCGGUAAUACGGAGGAUGCGAGCGUUAUCCGGAUUUAUUGGGUUUAAAGGGAGCGUAGGCGGGCGUUCAAGUCAGCUGUAAAAUCGCGCGGCUCAACCGCGCCCCGCAGUUGAAACUGGACGCCUUGAGUUCACAACAGGCAGGCGGAAUUCGUGGUGUAGCGGUGAAAUGCAUAGAUAUCACGAGGAACCCCGAUUGCGAAGGCAGCCUGCCGGGGUGCGACUGACGCUGAGGCUCGAAGGUGCGGGUAUCAAACAGGAUUAGAUACCCGGGUAGUC
RNAcentral lists this ribosomal RNA (442 nucleotides) under uncultured bacterium. RNAcentral describes it as "partial 16S ribosomal RNA". It matches the Rfam family "Bacterial small subunit ribosomal RNA", at positions 338 to 795 of the family's 1533-position model. The record is from RNAcentral.